This is a long non-coding RNA of Drosophila ananassae, 2475 nucleotides long. RefSeq lists it as uncharacterized. Lineage: Eukaryota; Metazoa; Arthropoda; Insecta; Diptera; Drosophilidae. The record is from RefSeq and is a predicted model, not a curated record. The transcript has 2 exons.
ACUAUACCGAUGCAGUAAAAUUCUCAAUAUUAAUUGGCUAAAAAAUCAAUACCAAAAGAAACGGCUGUUGAUCAAGUCCACUAUCCAAAAUUUUUUCGUACACCCCCACCUAAUGGAGCAGCGAGACAGCUGUGCAGCUGGUGAUCCAAACGAUCACCACUCUCAAUGCACUCAACUUAAGAUCAAUAUUGAUACACAUCAUUGAGGAAAGAUUGAAUCCAAACACGCUGUCAUCUUUAGAACUAGCCAUCACCGAUCCAACCACUCGACAAUCUCUGAAGGUCUCUCAGCUUAUCUUAAUCUCCAAAAGAAUGGCGUAUAAACUGGAACUCUAAUUGGAGCCAUCAACCCUAAACAUUUCUGGCAUAGGAGAAAAACUAAAGGAGCAUGAAAAAAAACUGUGUUGACCAUAUCAUCAUUAACCACUGGUUUCCAAAAACAAAUCUACGUAGUCGUAUUACUGAAAACAAUGCUCAAUUAACCAUUCCACCUAUUCAGACACGAAAAAAUAUCCCACUACAGUUGCGCUUCGCCGAUCCUGAAUUUACACAACACCAGAAGAUUGAUCUGCCGUGGGGGGCCGAAUAUAACUACCGGCUUAUGAGGCCAAAACAAGCACAUUUGACAUAAAGACAGCCACUACUCCAAAAUACAGCGCUGGGAUGAAUUGUAAUCGGGCCAGUAUGACUGGGAUCCGCGUUAGAUUUCAAGGCAAAAGAAGUUGUCAAUCAUCACGCGGAUAGGGCACCGGAAUCUAUCGAGCCACUAAAGGGUAUUUGACGGGUAUAUAAAGGGUGCAAUCGACGCAUCAAAGCGAAGUUCUAAUUGACGAUGAAUGUUCAAGUCGGAACUAGAAAAACCUGGAAGAUUAGUGAAGUUUCCGCCAAUGGCGGAUCAACAAGACGAGCCUCAGAAGGAAAUUGAACCACAAACCCAAGGUUUUUAAAGUGCCAGAAAACAAUAGAAUUCAAGGAGUUUAACUCACCGUCAAAACUAAAGUACGCAUAUGGGAGACAUAUCACCCGGUAAGGGUAACAGAGCCUCUGUAGGAGGAAACUGGCAGCCGUCUUAACCCAUUUCCUUUCUCUGUUGCGUAUCUGCGCAUCACUCUUCAAUAAAUUCGUAUGUGCCGUAUGUGUGAGGUAUCGCUAUACAUUUUUUUGUUUGUAAGGUAUAUCCUUUAGCUUCCUUCCCUUUAUUAUCUUAACCACUUCCAAAACGCACACUUUUAUAUGUAGCUACAUGUUUUUCAGACAAAUUUUGAAUCGCACAAUAAAGAUUUUCAAACGUCGAUUCUUGUACUGAUUAAGGAUACAAUACAUUUACCAAAAUGCAAGGAAGAAUUAAACGUGGUUCAUGAGUUAUCUAGGUGAUAUUAUUCGUAUUAUAGAUGAGUCUCAAUUCUGUGUUGCGUGUACGCAAAGUUGGCGCGUUGAGCAACACUUGGGCGGGUAGUGUUCUAUAUCGCUCAUUGUUUUCAGUACGGUGAGAUUCGACUAAAUAGCUUGGUAAAGUCGAUUGCGAAAAUAUAUUUACAUUUGAUGUCAUACGUAUGGAAAAUGGAAACGAAAUCGUAACUGUUAAGUAUUGUUAUUGUUGAGUCGCUGGUGAGAUCAUUGUUUAAAUUCGCGGAGAUAGACGAAGAAGCUGUUACACCUCUAGAGGAAAAGAUUAUUCGUGAUGAGUUAUUUAGUUGUGGAUGUAGUUGUUUUGGAAUUUUGCAAAUUUUGAAAAAACUUCAAUGAAAACUUGGCACCUGUAAAAAGCUGACAAAACUCCAUUCGACCUGUUUCGGAUGUUCUUGGACGACGAAAUCAUCGAAAAAUUGUUUCUAACACAAACAUCUACGCUCUACAAAAAAAAUAUUAUUUGCUACUCAACAACAAAUUGAUCGCUUAAUCGGAAUUCUUUUAUUUUCGGUUUAGCCAGAUCUUGGGCUGCUUAACGUGAGACAAUCAAUGCCUCGACCCACUUUUCGAACACUAAAAUCAAUAUUACAUCUAAUUGACAACAAUAGCAUAGACAAGUCAGACAUAUUUGGCAUUUUUACUACACAUUUAUCAAUUGAUGAACAGAAGAUUCCAUAUUUCGGUCGUCAUAACUGCAAAAUGUUUAUAAGAGGAAAAUCAAUACCCUUCGUCUUCAAACUGUGAUGCCUCUGUUCUGAUUCAGGAUUUCUUGUUCAUGAUAAUACGCAGCUUGCUUAAUGAGAGAAAAAUCCUGGCAAUUGGCUCUGUGCGAUGAAACCUUCUGAGAGGAGCAAACAGUGUUCUUUCAACAGCGAAACGUUUAAAGCAACAUUCCUGGGAUACGUGUUUUGAAAACAUCAACAAGAUAUUUGUCUGUCGUUGGCAGGACAAUUCUGAAGUGACGGUCCUUCAAACUUUAUCGAUACUGAGCCCACACAUGACAUUUGCAUGACAAUGCUGUCUCCAACUACCGAAUCGAAAUAAAAGUGGUGGUGCAAUAAAAAAA